Molecule: long non-coding RNA, 2064 nt
Filed under: Mytilus galloprovincialis (Mediterranean mussel)
Lineage: Eukaryota; Metazoa; Mollusca; Bivalvia; Mytilida; Mytilidae
Source: RNAcentral
GUCCCUGGUUGAUAGUUGUUUUCAUUAUUUAUCCGUUGGUCCCUGGUGGAUAGUUGUUCUCAUUGGUUAUCCGUUGGUCCCUGGUGGAUAGUUGUUUUCAUUGUUUAUCCGUUGGUCCCUGGUGGAUAGUUGUUCUCAUUGGUUAUCCGUUGGUCCCUGGUGGAUAGUUGUUUUCAUUGUUUAUUCGUUGGUCCCUGGUGGAUAGUUGUCUCAUUGUUUAUUCAUUGUUCCCUGGUGGAUAGUUGUUUCAUUGUUUAUUCGUUGUUCCCUGGUGGAUAGUUGUAUCAUUGUUUAUUCGUUGGUCCCUGGUUGAUAGUUGUGUUCAUUGUUUAUUCGUUGGUCCCGUGGAUAGUUGUCUCAUUGUCUGGUGGAUAGUUGUGUUCAUUGUUUAUUCGUUGGUCCCUGGUGGAUAGUUGUGUUCAUUGUUUAUUCGUUGGUCCCUAGUGGAUAGUUGUCUCAUUGUUUAUUCGUUGGUCCCUGGUGGAUAGUUGUCUCAUUGUUUAUUCGUUGGUCCCUGGUGGAUAGUUGUGUUCAUUGUUUAUUCGUUGGUCCCUGGUGGAUAGUUGUCUCAUUGUUUAUUCGUUGGUCCCUAGUGGAUAGUUGUUUUCAUUGUUUAUUCCUUGGUCCCUGGUGGAUAGUUGUUUCAAUGUUUUUUCGCUGGUCCCUGAUUGAUAGUUGAGUUCAUUGUUUAUUCAUUGUUCCCUGGUGGAUAGUUGUAUCAUUGUUUAUUCGUUGGUCCCUGGUUGAUAGUUGUGUUCUUUGUUUAUUCGUUGGUCCCUUGUGGAUAGUUUUGGUCUCUUGUGGAUAGUUGAGUUCAUUGUUUAUUCGUUGGUCCCUGGUGGGUAGUUGCCUCAUUGUUUAUUCGUUGGUCCCUAGUUGAUAGUUGUGUUCAUUGUUUAUUCGUUGGUCCCUGGUGGAUAGUUUUGGUCUCUUGUGGAUAGUUGAGUUCAUUGUUUAUUCGUUGGUCCCUGGUGGAUAGUUGUGUUUUCGUUGGUCCCUGGUGGAUAGUUGUCUCAUUGUUUAUUCGUUGGUCCCUAGUUGAUAGUUGUGUUCAUUGUUUAUUCGUUGGUCCCUGGUGGAUAGUUUUGUUGGUCCUUGUGGAUAGUUGUGUUCAUUGUUUAUUCGUUGGUCCCUGGUGAUAGUUGUGUUCAUUGUUUAUUCGUUGGUCCCUGUUGAUAGUUAUGUUUCAUUGUUUAUUCGUUGGUCCCUGGUGGAUAGUUGUUUUCAUUGUUUAUUCGUUGGUCCCUGGUGGAUAGUUGUCUCAUUGUUUAUUCGUUGAUCCCUGUUUGAUAGUUGUCUCAUUGUUAUUCGUUGGUCCCUGGUGGAUAGUUGUCUCAUUGUUUAUUCGUUGGUCCCUAGUUGAUAGUUAUGUUCAUUGUUUAUUCUUGGUCCCUGGUGGAUAGUUGUCUCAUUGUUUAUUCGGUGGUCUCUGGUUGAUAGUUAUGUUCAUUGUUUAUUCGUUGGUCCUUGGUGGAUAGUUGAGUUCAUUGUUUAUUCGUGGUCCCUGGUGGAUAGUUGUCUCAUUGUUUAUUCGUUGGUCCCUGGUGGAUAGUUGUCUCAUUGUUUAUUCGUUAGUCCCUGGUGGAUAGUUGUCUCAUUGUUUAUUCGUUGGUCCCUGGUUGAUAGUUUUGUUCAUUGUUUAUUCGUUGGUCCCUGGUUGAUAGUUGUGUUCAUUGUUUAUUCGUUGGUCCCUGAUGGAUAGUUGUCUCGUUCAAUUUGGCAAUAAUAACACAUAUCCUAGUAAUCAACAUAAUUUACUUUUUUGUUUUUAUUAUAUGGCUUUUCAAGCUACGGUUUUUGUAAAGAUUUUUGCAUUCGUGAUACUGAAUUAGGGGUCUUGAAUCAGUCUUUAUUCAUCUUAUGUAGAUAUAUUGUAAGGUCUACAAUGUUUUAGUUUUAUUUGACAUGCAUUUCUUUAUUAUAACCAUUGUUUUGUUUUUCGAUAUGCUCAUGCGUAAAUCUUACAACUGCUUUAGAUUUACUGAACCACAACCGAUAUCUACAAGGGAACUAUACAACAUAACAGACUUGUUAGUCUGAGACUGAUUCCUUUAAUGAUCAGCC